Molecule: ribosomal RNA, 402 nt
Filed under: bacterium
Lineage: Bacteria
Description: partial 16S ribosomal RNA
Rfam family: Bacterial small subunit ribosomal RNA
Source: RNAcentral
UGGGGAAUUUUUCACAAUGGGGGAAACCCUGAUGCAGCGACGCCGCGUGAUUUAGAAGGCCUUCGGGUUGUAAAAAUCUUUUCUAUGGGAAGAAAAUGACAGUACCAUAGGAAUAAGGACCGGCUAAUUACGUGCCAGCAGCCGCGGUAAUACGUAAGGUCCGAGCGUUGUCCGGAAUCAUUGGGCGUAAAGGGUACGUAGGCGGGUAAGCAAGUUAGAAGUGAAAUCCUAUAGCUCAACUAUAGUAAGCUUUUAAAACUGCUCAUCUUGAGGUAUGGAAGGGAAAGUGGAAUUCCUAGUGGAGCGGUGAAAUGCGCAGAUAGUAGGAGGAAUACCGGUGGCGAAGGCGACUUUCUGGCCAUAACCUGACGCUGAGGUACGAAAGCGUGGGUAGCAAACAGG